RNAcentral lists this ribosomal RNA (590 nucleotides) under uncultured bacterium. RNAcentral describes it as "partial 16S ribosomal RNA". It matches the Rfam family "Bacterial small subunit ribosomal RNA", at positions 355 to 1376 of the family's 1533-position model. The record is from RNAcentral.
UGGGGAAUAUUGGACAAUGGGCGCAAGCCUGAUCCAGCAAUGCCGCGUGUGUGAAGAGGGCCUUCGGGUUGUAAAGCACUUUUAUCAGGAGCGAAACGCUGUCGGCUAAUACCCGGCGGAACUGACGGUACCUGAGGAAUAAGCACCGGCUAACUUCGUGCCAGCAGCCGCGGUAAUACGAAGGGUGCAAGCGUUAAUCGGAAUUACUGGGCGUAAAGCGUGCGUAGGCGGUUUCUUAAGUCUGCUGUGAAAUCCCCGGGCUCAACCUGGGAAUGGCAGUGGAUACUGGGAGGCUAGAGUGUGUCAGAGGGUGGUGGAAUUCCCGGUGUAGCGGUGAAAUGCGUAGAGAUCGGGAGGAACAUCAGUGGCGAAGGCGGCCACCUGGGACAACACUGACGCUGAGGCACGAAAGCGUGGGGAGCAAACAGGAUUAGGAUACCCUGGUAGUCCACGCCCUAAACGAUGCGAACUGGAUGUUGGUCUCAACUCGGAGAUCAGUGUCGAAGCUAACGCGUUAAGUUCGCCGCCUGGGGAGUACGGUCGCAAGACUGGAAACUCAAAUGAAUUGACGGGGUCAUAGCUGUUUCCUG